AAUUUUUGACUAUGGGGGAAACCCUGAUCCAGCCAUCCCGCGUGUAUGAUGAAGGNCUNNGGGUUNUNAAGUACUUUUGUUAGNNNNNUAAAGGUAUCUACUAAUACGAUAUCAUUUUUACGGUAUCUGCAGAAGAAGAACCGGCCAAUUACGUGCCAGCAGCCGAGGUAAUGCGUAUGUUGCAUGCUUUAAUCGGAAUUACUGGUCGUAAAGCGUGUGUAGGCAGUACGGAAAGAAAGAUGUGUAAUCCCAGGGAUCAACCAUGGAACUAACUUUAUAACUGCCGAGUUAGAGUGUGUCAGAGGGAUGUAGAAAUCCACGUGUAGAAGUGAAAUGCGUAGAUAUGUAGAGGAAUACCGAUGGCGAAAGCAGCCCCCUUGGUUAAUACAGACGCACAAACACGAAAGCGUGGGGAGCAAACA
RNAcentral lists this ribosomal RNA (422 nucleotides) under uncultured bacterium. RNAcentral's name for it is "partial 16S ribosomal RNA". It matches the Rfam family "Bacterial small subunit ribosomal RNA", at positions 360 to 774 of the family's 1533-position model. The record is from RNAcentral.